AACGAACGCUGGCGGCAUGCCUAACACAUGCAAGUCGAACGAGACCUUCGGGUCUAGUGGCGCACGGGUGCGUAACGCGUGGGAACCUGCCCUUAGGUUCGGAAUAACUCCCCGAAAGGGGUGCUAAUACCGGAUAAUGUCUUCGGACCAAAGAUUUAUCGCCUUUGGAUGGGCCCGCGUUGGAUUAGCUAGUUGGUAGGGUAAAAGCCUACCAAGGCGACGAUCCAUAGCUGGUCUGAGAGGAUGAUCAGCCACACUGGGACUGAGACACGGCCCAUACUCCUACGGGAGGCAGCAGUGGGGAAUAUUGGACAAUGGGCGAAAGCCUGAUCCAGCAAUGCCGCGUGAGUGAUGAAGGCCUUAGGGUUGUAAAGCUCUUUUACCCGGGAUGAUAAUGACAGUACCGGGAGAAUAAGCUCCGGCUAACUCCGUG
This 433-nucleotide ribosomal RNA is filed under the name uncultured bacterium. Its description in RNAcentral is "partial 16S ribosomal RNA". It matches the Rfam family "Bacterial small subunit ribosomal RNA", at positions 29 to 507 of the family's 1533-position model. The record is from RNAcentral.